RNAcentral lists this ribosomal RNA (253 nucleotides) under uncultured bacterium. RNAcentral's name for it is "partial 16S ribosomal RNA". It matches the Rfam family "Bacterial small subunit ribosomal RNA", at positions 524 to 776 of the family's 1533-position model. The record is from RNAcentral.
UACAGAGGGGGCAAGCGUUGUUCGGAAUUACUGGGCGUAAAGGGCGCGUAGGUGGCCUUCUAAGUUGAACGUGAAAUCCCUGGGCUCAACCCAGGAACUGCGUCCAAGACUGGGAGGCUUGAAUCCGGGAGAGGGAUGCGGAAUUCCAGGUGUAGCGGUGAAAUGCGUAGAUAUCUGGAGGAACACCGGUGGCGAAGGCAAUCCCCUGGGCCUGCACUGACGCUCAUGCACGAAAGCGUGGGGAGCAAACAGG